Molecule: long non-coding RNA, 189 nt
Organism: Rhododendron vialii
Lineage: Eukaryota; Viridiplantae; Streptophyta; Magnoliopsida; Ericales; Ericaceae
Exons: 3
Source: RefSeq, a predicted model, not a curated record
GGUUACAUUUCUUCGAGAAAAGAAUGUUGGCGUAGUGAUCCGUGAUGAGCGAGAAUUUAAUCAGAUUCGCAUGCAUGGGGAAAAGGCAAAGGAAAAGCCAAUUUGUGGAGGUAAAGAAAAUGCUGCACCUAAAGUGGCACCUAAUGAUAAUGUUAGAUCAAAAGCCCAAUGCUUACGACGUGAACGAGA